AGGAGCUUCCACCACGUGGCCCGAAACGCUGCUGCUGCGCGGGGACGGGGACGGGGACAGGGAGCAGCCGCGGCCAGGGCUGCCCGGUGGCGGCAGCAACGGCCCCUUCCUCCCGCGCCGUUAAGGCAGGGAGGCUGCUCUCAAGUUGCGGUUAGGUAUGAAGAGAGAGGACUGAAAGUCCUGCUCUGUGGGGGAAGUACUCGGCAAGCUGCACAUGACUGGCAGCUAUCGGAGCUCUUGCAGGAUCCCGUGUUUGCUGCCACCUGUCAGGUGCAUGAUAACAGUCAUGCAGAAAGGCUUUUAAAAAGAAAGUGGGAGGCUCUCAUCACCGCAGCUGAAGGCUGGAGCCCAAAAACCCCGGCUGCCCAGAAGGAGCUCGGUGAUUUCUGGCUGACAGGGCACGCUGCGCGCUGCAAAUGCCGAGCUGGCCCCGACAGGCAGCUCCCUCGGAGCGGAGGAGCCACCGCGGCCGCCCGCCUCCGAGAAAGGCCGGUGGGGAGCCGGGGCAGGGUGAAGACACCUGGUGUCACCCGGGACCCGAACCACCAGCGCCGGCUGCAGACCGUCCCCUCUGCUGGUUGCACUCGCCAAUGCGCCGCCGGGACGGGGCGGCGGGAAAACGAGCCUCUGGAUGGGCGAACGUGGAAAAAAGACAAGCUGGAAGGGAGAAGACGCGUCGGGGGAAGCACGUGGCACUGCGUUGAUGUAAAGGGGAAGCAGGCAGCAAGAAGUGAGGGAAGAGCGGAGCGAGAGGGAGAAGGAUGCGUCCGCGUGCAAGCGUUCGACACCCUGCCCGAACAAAGGCCGACUGUGGCUGUUGUUGAGUCACACGAUAAGAUCAUUGUUGCAGGAUCUUUUUUUCCCUCUCUCUUUUUUUUUUUUUUUUGCAUUUGUGUGUCACUUAGAAAGAAAUUCUUCUUACAGAAUCGCCUCUGCUCCGCUCCGCCCCCAGCGCGCCGGGAGAAUCUGUGCUUGGAGCUGGCGCUGAGGCUGGAGAGGGAACGUUCCCUUCCUGAUCCUUAUCGCCAGGAUGUAGGAGGAUCCUCGGGGAAUAGCUGGAAGCCUUUGCUGGAGCCAUCCCAGCAGCGAGCAAGCUCGCUGUAGCCUUUAAAUGGCAAAUCCAUCAGGCCUGCGCGGGCUGGGCUCCGACGCGCCGUUUAACCCCAUCGAACUAGGGCGUUGCUCGUCGCCGUCGCAUCGAGACCUGCCUCCGCGCGAAGCCGGACCUGCCCCCGGCCCCGCGCACUCCCGCUCCCGCUCGGGCCGCCUUCCCCGCGGGAUGCUCCGCAGGCGUCGCCGCCAGCUAAAUCACGCCUGAAACGAAGCCUGAAGCUGCUGGCUCGCGAGCCGGUGUGGGCACCGCGGCUGCCGGCCAAGAGCUCUGGUUCGGCUCGCGCCUUCCGGCCGCGUCCGUGACUUUUUUCCUCCUCCAGAACUGUCAAGCUUCGGUGAAAAACGGCAAGGAAAGCACCGACGCUUCUUACCCCAACGCUCCCCGCGGCCAGCCGCGCCAGCCCACCCGGCAAGGCCCCCUUCAAGCCACAGCUGUUUCUAUGAGAAAAGGGGUCCCAGCAGCCCAGCCGAAGCAGCGUCCCUCGCAGAAGGGUUGUGCCGGGGCCGGCGCCCUCCCGCUGCCACAGAGCCCUUGCGGCGGCCCCGCAGCCGGAUCCGGUUAUAUUUAGGGCAGGAAACAGAUGCUGCCUGGCGGAGGAAGCAUCGGAAGAACAGCAGCGCGCCAGGAACACGACGGGGCCGGGUUGCACCGAAACGCCCAGAUUCGGCCCUGAUCGGGGCAGGUGCCGUUCGGCCGGCCGGGGCGCGCAGCUGCGUCCACGGGGACGACGGCCCAAAGGGUUUUUGCUGCUUCCUGCACGCGCCGGGAGCUGGCGCUGCCCCCGCUCCGAUGUGCCCCUACAGAUGUGUCGGGGCGGUGGAAGCAGAUCUGCGCCGUCCCAGCAGACGCAGGGCUGGGCGGCACGGAAAGCAGGUGACCCUCAGCUCCAGGACCUGGAGUUUAAUGCACUUAUUCAGCACAACUGCAGAGCAGGUAGGGAUCCCACGGAGGUCCCCGCCUCGUACAACACCCCGUAGCUCCCGAAAGCAC
Molecule: long non-coding RNA, 2104 nt
Filed under: Apteryx owenii (little spotted kiwi)
Lineage: Eukaryota; Metazoa; Chordata; Aves; Apterygiformes; Apterygidae
Description: lncRNA (ENSAOWG00000009347.1)
Source: RNAcentral